Molecule: ribosomal RNA, 484 nt
Filed under: uncultured bacterium
Lineage: Bacteria
Description: partial 16S ribosomal RNA
Rfam family: Bacterial small subunit ribosomal RNA
Source: RNAcentral
AUUGAACGCUGGCGGCAGGCCUAACACAUGCAAGUCGAGCGGAUGAAGCGAGCUUGCUCCUGGAUUCAGCGGCGGACGGGUGAGUAAUGCCUAUGAAUCUGCCUGGUAGUGGGGGAUAACGUCCGGAAACGGGCGCUAAUACUGCAUACGUCCUGUGGGAGCAAGUGGGGGAUCUUCGGACCUCAUGCUAUCAGAUGAGGCUAGGUCGGAUUCGCUAGUUGGUGGGGUAAAGGCCUACCAAGGCGACGAUCCGUAACUGGUCUGAAAGGAAGGUCAGUCACCCGGGCAGAGAGACUGAGCAGAGACACCGGCAGUGGGAAACAGCGGAGAAUAUUGGACGAGGGGGGAGUGGCUGAUACAGCCAUGUCGGGUGUGGGAAGAAGGAGCUAGGAUUGGUAAGCAAUGAAGGUUGGAGGGAAGGGAAGUAAGUUAAUACCGGGCGAUAUUGACGUUACCAGCAGAAUAAGCUCCGGCUAACUUCGUG